Molecule: ribosomal RNA, 431 nt
Filed under: uncultured bacterium
Lineage: Bacteria
Description: bacterial SSU rRNA
Rfam family: Bacterial small subunit ribosomal RNA
Source: RNAcentral
UACGGAAGGCAGCAGUGGGGAAUAUUGCACAAUGGGCGCAAGCCUGAUGCAGCCAUGCCGCAUGAGUGAAGAAGGCCUUCGGGUUGUAAAGCUCUUUUAGUGAGAAAGAUAAUGACGGUACUCACAGAAGAAGUCCUGGCUAACUCCGUGCCAGCAGCCGCGGUAAUACGGAGAGGGCUAGCGUUAUUCGGGAAUUAUUGGGCGUAAAGAGCGCGUAGGCUGAUUAGUAAGUUAAAGUGAAAUCCCAAAGCUUAACUUUGGAAUUGCUUUUUAAAACUGCUAGUCUAGAGAUUGAAAGAGGAUAGAGGAAUUCCUAGUGUAGAGGUGAAAUUCGUAAAUAUUAGGAGGAACACCAGUGGCGAAGGCGUCUAUCUGGUUCAAAUCUGACGCUGAGGCGCGAAGGCGUGGGGAGCAAACAGGGAUUAGAUACC